UACGUAGGUGGCAAGCGUUGUCCGGAUUUACUGGGCGUAAAGAGCGCGCAGGCGGUCAUCCAAGUCACGUGUGAAAGCCCCCGGCUCAACUGGGGAGGGUCACGCGAUACUGGUCGACUCGAAGGCAGGAGAGGGUAGUGGAAUUCCCGGUGUAGUGGUGAAAUGCGUAGAUAUCGGGAGGAACACCAGUGGCGAAGGCGACUGCCUGGCCUGUUCUUGACGCUGAGGCGCGAAAGCUAGGGGAGCAAACGGG
This 253-nucleotide ribosomal RNA is filed under the name uncultured bacterium. RNAcentral's name for it is "partial 16S ribosomal RNA". It matches the Rfam family "Bacterial small subunit ribosomal RNA", at positions 524 to 776 of the family's 1533-position model. The record is from RNAcentral.